Molecule: ribosomal RNA, 469 nt
Filed under: uncultured bacterium
Lineage: Bacteria
Description: partial 16S ribosomal RNA
Rfam family: Bacterial small subunit ribosomal RNA
Source: RNAcentral
UAGGGAAUCUUCCGCAAUGGACGAAAGUCUGAUGGAGCAACGCCGCGUGAGUGAUGAAGGGUUUCGGCUCGUAAACUCUGUUGUUGGAGAAGAACAGGUGUGAGAGUAACUGUUCACAUCUUGACGGUAUCCAACCAGAAAGCCACGGCUAACUACGUGCCAGCAGCCGCGGUAAUACGUAGGUGGCAAGCGUUGUCCGGAUUUAUUGGGCGUAAAGCGAGCGCAGGCGGUUUCUUAGGUCUGAUGUGAAAGCCUUCGGCUUAACCGGAGAAGUGCAUCGGAAACCAGGAGACUUGAGUGCAGAAGAGGGCAGUGGAACUCCAUGUGUAGCGGUGAAAUGCGUAGAUAUAUGGAAGAACACCAGUGGCGAAGGCGGCUGUCUGGUCUGUAACUGACGCUGAGGCUCGAAAGCAUGGGUAGCGAACAGGAUUAGAUACCCUGGUAGUCCAUGCCGUAAACGAUGAGUAGC